This 234-nucleotide ribosomal RNA is filed under the name uncultured bacterium. Its description in RNAcentral is "partial 16S ribosomal RNA". It matches the Rfam family "Bacterial small subunit ribosomal RNA", at positions 15 to 237 of the family's 1533-position model. The record is from RNAcentral.
GAUCAUGGCUCAGGAUGAACGCUAGCGACAGGCCUAACACAUGCAAGUCGAGGGGCAGCGGAGAGGUAGCAAUACCUUUGCCGGCGACCGGCGCACGGGUGAGUAACACGUAUGCAAUCCACCUGUAACAGGGGGAUAACCCGGAGAAAUCCGGACUAAUACUCCAUAAUAUGGGCGUUCCGCAUGGAGAGCUCACUUAAAGAGAGCAAUUUUGGUUACAGACGAGCAUGCGCU